GCCGGCGUGGAGCAAUAGUAGCUUAUUGGCCUCCUAUCCGGAGCUCAGCCAAAGGUUGCGGGUGCAAGUCCCGUCGUCGGUA
Non-coding RNA from Colletotrichum higginsianum, 82 nucleotides. NCBI's taxonomy places the organism in Eukaryota, Fungi, Ascomycota, Sordariomycetes, Glomerellales, Glomerellaceae. The record is from Rfam.